Molecule: ribosomal RNA, 494 nt
Filed under: uncultured bacterium
Lineage: Bacteria
Description: partial 16S ribosomal RNA
Rfam family: Bacterial small subunit ribosomal RNA
Source: RNAcentral
GACGAACGCUGGCGGCGUGCUUGACACAUGCAAGUCGAACGGAAAGGCCUGCUUUCCCUUGUGGAUUGCGGGUACUCGAGUGGCGAACGGGUGAGUAACACGUGAGUGAUCUGCCCCCAACUUGGGUAUAAGCCUGGGAAACUGGGUCUAAUUCCCGAUAGGACUGCAGGGUGGUGCCUGUGGUGGAAAACGAUUUUCUAGUGGUUGGGGAUGAGCUCGCGGCCUAUCAGCUUGUUGGUGGGGUAAUGGCCUACCAAGGCGGCGACGGGUAGCCGGCCUGGGAGGGUGGACGGCCACAUUGGGACUGAGAUACGGCCCAGACUCCUACGGGAGGCAGCAGUGGGGAAUAUUGCACAAUGGGCGGAAGCCUGAUGCAGCGACGCCGCGGGGGGGAUGACGGCCUUCGGGUUGUAAACUCCUUUCGACCGCGAGGAAGCCACCUGGUUGGAAGGGUGGUGACGGUAGUGGUAGAAGAAGCACCGGCUAACUACGUG